ACUGCNUGCCCAGUGNCUAAAGUUAAACGGCCGCGGUAUCCUGACCGUGCAAAGGUAGCAUAAUCACUUGUUCCUUAAUUAGGGACUGGUAUGANNGGCUAAACGAGAGCUCAACUGUCUCUUAUUUUUAAUCAGUGAAAUUGACAUCCCCGUGAAGAGGCGGGGAUACCACAAUAAGACGAGAAGACCCUAUGGAGCUUUAAUUUACAUCUAAAUUUAACUACUAUCCUACCCUAAUGGACUAAAAACCUUAAAUAUUAGAUUAAAAUUUCGGUUGGGGUGACCUCGGAGCAUAAAAAACCCUCCGAACGACAAUAACCAAGACCCACAGGUCAAAGUAACUAAAACAGUCUAAUUGACCCAAUCUUUGAUCAACGGACCAAGUUACCCUAGGGAUAACAGCGCAAUCCUAUUUAAGAGUUCAUAUCGACAAUAGGGUUUACGACCUCGAUGUUGGAUCAGGACAUCCCAAUGGUGUANCAGCUAUUAAUGGUUCGUUUG
Molecule: ribosomal RNA, 501 nt
Filed under: Lophuromys chrysopus
Lineage: Eukaryota; Metazoa; Chordata; Mammalia; Rodentia; Muridae
Description: partial 16S ribosomal RNA
Rfam family: Bacterial large subunit ribosomal RNA
Source: RNAcentral